UGGGGAAUAUUGGACAAUGGGCGAAAGCCUGAUCCAGCCAUGCCGCGUGAGUGAUGAAGGCCCUAGGGUUGUAAAGCUCUUUUGUGCGGGAAGAUAAUGACGGUACCGCAAGAAUAAGCCCCGGCUAACUUCGUGCCAGCAGCCGCGGUAAUACGAAGGGGGCUAGCGUUGUUCGGAAUUACUGGGCGUAAAGGGCGCGUAGGCGGUCGUGCAAGUCAGAUGUGAAAGCCCUGGGCUCAACCCAGGAUGUGCAUUUGAUACUGCAUGGCUAGAGUGUCGGAGAGGAUGGUGGAAUUCCCAGUGUAGAGGUUAAAUUCGUAGAUAUUGGGAAGAACACCGGUGGCGAAGGCGACCAUCUGGACGACAACUGACGCUGAGGCGCGAAAGCGUGGGGAGCAAACA
Molecule: ribosomal RNA, 402 nt
Filed under: uncultured bacterium
Lineage: Bacteria
Description: bacterial SSU rRNA
Rfam family: Bacterial small subunit ribosomal RNA
Source: RNAcentral